AUUUUUGCAAAACGUCUUCUCGAACUUUCCCGAACCGCGCUCGGGUUAUCAGGACUGCGGAUACUCUUCUUGGUCAUCACUGAGGUUCCAGAACACAGCUGAUGCUCAUUAAAUACCUGCAAAAAGGAUGUGCUCUGGCUCACAUCUCCCCAGAGAUGAGGGAGGGGCUGGUUAGCGGGAUUGCUGAUGCCACUGAACUGCACACAUCCCCAGAAGGAAGGGGUUCUCCAAAGCUGGUAAAGCCGAGAGGCCGCUAAGCCUACAUGCCCAGCAGCAGACAGUCCAUCCUCCUGUCUGUACUGCAAGCCCACCGUGUGCCAGGACCGUGCAGAGCACCUGAGUGCCUCUGAUCUCCCAAUGGACCCCGCAAUGAUCAGGCAAGAGAGCAAAAUGUCAACAGUCCCACACAGUGGGGCAACUUUACCAAGUUCAGGGUGUUUAAAUAGAAGCUGU
Delphinapterus leucas (beluga whale) is the source of this 453-nucleotide non-coding RNA. Lineage: Eukaryota; Metazoa; Chordata; Mammalia; Artiodactyla; Monodontidae. The record is from RefSeq and is a predicted model, not a curated record.